This 493-nucleotide ribosomal RNA is filed under the name uncultured bacterium. RNAcentral's name for it is "partial 16S ribosomal RNA". It matches the Rfam family "Bacterial small subunit ribosomal RNA", at positions 29 to 523 of the family's 1533-position model. The record is from RNAcentral.
AUUGAACGCUGGCGGCAUGCUUUACACAUGCAAGUCGAACGGUAACAGGUUAAGCUGACGAGUGGCGAACGGGUGAGUAAUGCAUCGGAACGUGCCCGAUCGUGGGGAAUAACGCAGCGAAAGCUGCGCUAAUACCGCAUACGAUCUGAGGAUGAAAGCGGGGGACCGUAAGGCCUCGCGCGAUCGGAGCGGCCGAUGUCAGAUUAGGUAGUUGGUGGGGUAAAGGCUCACCAAGCCGACGAUCUGUAGCUGGUCUGAGAGGACGACCAGCCAGACUGGGACUGAGACACGGCCCAGACUCCUACGGGGGGCAGCAGUGGGGAAUUUUGGACAAUGGGCGAAAGCCUGAUCCAGCAAUGCCGCGCGCAGGAAGAAGGCCUUCGGGUUGUAAACUGCUUUUGUACGGAGCGAAAAGGCUCUCUCUAAUACAGGGGGCUCAUGACGGUACCGUAAGAAUAAGCACCGGCUAACUACGUGCAAGCCGCCGCCGUAA